AUUUUGUCCCUGUCUCUGUUGGAGGUGGAGAGAAUCAGGUGAAAUAGUGUUUGUGAAAGUGCUUUGGAAACUUAAAGAAGUACCAUACAUGUACGAUAAUGGUUUAUAGGAUCAGCAUGCGUACUUUUCUCCUCCCUCUUCUUCUUGGCCCAAGGGAAGGGACAUGUCUGACCGGUGAGCCACGUCCCUCAUCCAAACCAGUAAGAGGGGUGUGUGUGUGUGUGUGUGUGUGUUUGGGGAGGACGGCAGUAAAGUCCCUGGAUGGAUGGAUGGAUGGAGGAGGGAGCAAGUAGUGACUCCGCUUUAUAGGACGGUGCCCCAGCAGGAGAGGCUAGGUGGGACCUGAUUUAAAUAUUCCCGAGCAGGGGGUCUGUUGUGAAGCGUUAGAGGGUCAGCUGUCCGGACAGGGGAAGCCUGGGACAGGGUGGAGGGCUGGGGAUGAGGACAGCAUCUCGCUGGCUCGCUCCCUCCCUCCCUCCCUCCUUCUCCCCCCCUCCCCUACUGGCCGCAGCUCGGCUCCCUCCGCCCCGCGGGGAGUCCGGCCCCCGCCAGUCUCCGCCCCCCUCCCCAUUCCGGGCUCCUCUUUGAUGCACCGCCGCGGCCCAAUGGGCGCGCGGAGGAGGCGUCGGACUGGGGGCUUAGCGCAAGGAGGCGUCAAUCAGGCAGCCGCGGGGCUGGAGGGAGCUCGUCCUGGUACCGCCUCUAUCUUUGGGAGAAAGAGGGAGAGAGAGGGAGAGGAGAGGAGAGGGCAGGAGAGGAGAGGACAGGAGAGGAGAAGCCGGGCGGGGAGACUGGGCCAAGGGCCGGGACACAUGGAUUAGCCAGGCGCCCUCUCGGGCCGGUGUCCGCCAGCCGCACCAUGGGCAAACUUCACUCCAAACACGGUCAGUGUCUCCCGCAACCCCCGGCCCCCGGCCCCGGGUACUGGGCUCGGGCUCGGGCUGGGGCUCCCUCUCCUCCUCCUUCUCCUCCUCCUCCUCCUCCUCCUCUUCCUUCUCCUUCUCUUCUUCCUCCUCUUCCUCUUCUCCCUGCCCUGCCCUGCCCUGCCCUGCCCCUGCCCAGCCCUGCCCAGCCCAGCCCAGCCCGCCGAGCCGCGAUCGCUAACUCUCUCCCUCUCCCUUUCUUUCCUGCUCCCGCCCGCCGCCUCGGAUCUGCCCAGCUGCCGUGUGUAAGCGCAGGGAGAGCCCCGAAGGUGACAGCUUCGCAGUGA
This 1210-nucleotide long non-coding RNA is filed under the name Sarcophilus harrisii (Tasmanian devil). Its description in RNAcentral is "lncRNA (ENSSHAG00000021030.1)". Lineage: Eukaryota; Metazoa; Chordata; Mammalia; Dasyuromorphia; Dasyuridae. The record is from RNAcentral.